UUCCUACACUUGCGUUAAACCUGGACAAGAUUUGACAAACCCACACCCUGCUUUUGCCUCGCAAAGAGAAGGACAGUCUGCUUUACAGAAUCUGCAGGGAGUCAGCGAGAGUGGGAAGCCUUUCCUUUUCCAAGCACAGACAACUGUCAAUAUCUAACGAGGCACCUGCUCCUAUCUCACGGUUUCUAUAAAACCCCCAUUUUGCAUGAGCUGACAGCUCGUGGUAUGAAAGGCAGCAGUUUCCUCACAUUCAAGAGCUCAGCAGGAGUCUGACAAGGUAGGAUACUACCAUUAGCUGAUCACCAGUCAGUAAGUGCCGGGGAUGCUGCUUCACACAAAGAGCCCAACAUUGUCUUUUUGCAAGAUAGCAGAUCUUGAGCUGGCAGGAGCUCGGUGGUGUACUCCCACCUCCCACAUUACCUGAGUCAUUAGAAUUGCUGAAGAUUUCGUAGCAAGGCAAACGUAUAUGGAUGUGUGUGUGUGUGUGUGUAUAGGUAUAUCUAUAUAUGGAUCUAUGCUUCAGGAUGUGUUGUAGUAAUUGCUUUCAAAUCCACCUGAUUUAUAUC
This 566-nucleotide long non-coding RNA is filed under the name Struthio camelus australis. RNAcentral describes it as "lncRNA (ENSSCUG00000010567.1)". The record is from RNAcentral. Lineage: Eukaryota; Metazoa; Chordata; Aves; Struthioniformes; Struthionidae.